This 468-nucleotide ribosomal RNA is filed under the name uncultured bacterium. Its description in RNAcentral is "partial 16S ribosomal RNA". It matches the Rfam family "Bacterial small subunit ribosomal RNA", at positions 28 to 507 of the family's 1533-position model. The record is from RNAcentral.
GACGAACGCUGGCGGCGUGCUUAACACAUGCAAGUCGAACGGAAAGGCCCUGCUUUUGUGGGGUGCUCGAGUGGCGAACGGGUGAGUAACACGUGAGUAACCUGCCCUUGACUUUGGGAUAACUUCAGGAAACUGGGGCUAAUACCGGAUAGGAGCUCCUGCUGCAUGGUGGGGGUUGGAAAGUUUCGGCGGUUGGGGAUGGACUCGCGGCUUAUCAGCUUGUUGGUGGGGUAGUGGCUUACCAAGGCUUUGACGGGUAGCCGGCCUGAGAGGGUGACCGGCCACAUUGGGAAUGAGAUAAGGGCCAGGAUCCUACGGGAGGCAGCAGGGGGGAAUAUUGCAAAAUGGGCGGAAGCCUGAAGCAGCAACGCCGGGGGCGGGAUGAAGGCCUUCGGGGUUGAAACCGCUUUCGCCUGUGAAGAAGCGGGAGGGACGGGAAUGGGUAAAGAAGCACCGGCUAACUACGUG